This 824-nucleotide ribosomal RNA is filed under the name uncultured Arcicella sp. RNAcentral's name for it is "bacterial SSU rRNA". It matches the Rfam family "Bacterial small subunit ribosomal RNA", at positions 28 to 864 of the family's 1533-position model. Lineage: Bacteria; Pseudomonadati; Bacteroidota; Cytophagia; Cytophagales; Flectobacillaceae. The record is from RNAcentral.
GAUGAACAUUAGCGGCAGGCCUAAUACAUGCAAGUGGAGAGGGGGUCUUCGGACAUAGUGGCGCACGGGUGCGUAACACGUAUGCAACCUACCUUACAUGGGGGGAUAGCCUUUCGAAAGGGAGAUUAAUACCGCAUAAGACAGUAGCUGGGCAUCCAGCAGCUGUUAAAGAUUUAUCGAUGUAAGAUGGGCAUGCGUCCAAUUAGUUAGUUGGCGAGGUAACGGCUCACCAAGACUUUGAUUGGUAGGGGAACUGAGAGGUCAAUCCCCCACACUGGCACUGAGAUACGGGCCAGACUCCUACGGGAGGCAGCAGUAGGGAAUAUUGGGCAAUGGACGCAAGUCUGACCCAGCCAUGCCGCGUGCAGGAUGAAGGCGUUAUGCGUUGUAAACUGCUUUUAUACAGGAAGAAACGACUCUUGCGAGAGGCAUUGACGGUACUGUAUGAAUAAGCACCGGCUAACUCCGUGCCAGCAGCCGCGGUAAUACGGAGGGUGCAAGCGUUGUCCGGAUUUAUUGGGUUUAAAGGGUGCGCAGGUGGUUUAUUAAGUCAGUGGUGAAAGACGGUCGCUCAACGAUUGCAGUGCCAUUGAAACUGGUAGACUUGAGUAAAGUAGAGGUGGGCGGAAUUGAUAGUGUAGCGGUGAAAUGCAUAGAUAUUAUCAAGAACUCCAAUUGCGUAGGCAGCUCACUUGGCUUUUACUGACACUCAUGCACGAAAGUGUGGGUAUCAAACAGGAUUAGAUACCCUGGUAGUCCACACUGUAAACGAUGAUAACUAGGUGUCGGCCGAAUCUGGUCGGUGCCACAGCGAAAGCGUUAAG